Molecule: ribosomal RNA, 495 nt
Filed under: uncultured bacterium
Lineage: Bacteria
Description: partial 16S ribosomal RNA
Rfam family: Bacterial small subunit ribosomal RNA
Source: RNAcentral
GACGAACGCUGGCGGCGUGCCUAAUACAUGCAAGUAGAACGCUGAAGGAGGAGCUUGCUUCUCCGGAUGAGUUGCGAACGGGUGAGUAACGCGUAGGUAACCUGCCUGGUAGCGGGGGAUAACUAUUGGAAACGAUAGCUAAUACCGCGUAACAGUAGAUGUUGCAUGACAUUUGCUUAAAAGGUGCAAUUGCAUCACUUCCAGAUGGACCUGCGUUGUAUUAGCUAGUUGGUGAGGUAACGGCUCACCAAGGCGACGAUACAUAGCCGACCUGAGAGGGGGACCGGCCACACUGGGACUGAGACACGGCCCAGACUCCUACGGGAGGCAGCAGUAGGGAAUCUUCGGCAAUGGACGGAAGUCUGACCGAGCAACGCCGCGUGAGUGAAGAAGGUUUUCGGAUCGUAAAGCUCUGUUGUAAGAGAAGAACGAGUGUGAGAGUGGAAAGUUCACACUGUGACGGUAUCUUACCAGAAAGGGACGGCUAACUACGUG